GAUGAAGAACGUAGUGAAAUGCGAUAAUUAAUGUGAAUUGCAGAAUUCCGUGAAUCAUCGAGUCUUUGAACGCACAUUGCGCCUCAUGGCAUUCCGUGAGGCAUGCCCAUCUCAGCGUUAGAAAAUAUUCUCAAAUUUUAGUUUUGUGCUAAAAUUUGGAUCAUGUCAAGGAAGCUAUUACUAUUAUUGUGAUCGCUCUUUGGAAAUUGAUAGGUCUUUGAGUUGCUACUCAUAGAACGUGAUGAAUCUUUCUUCAUUCUAUUGUAAUUCACUCUGGUAGUCCUAAAACUUGUAUGCCUGUGGCAUAUCUUGUAAUUUGACCUGAGAUUGGGUAGGGAUACCCGCUGAACUUAAGCAUAUCAAUAAGCGGAGGA
This 374-nucleotide unclassified non-coding RNA is filed under the name soil metagenome. RNAcentral's name for it is "partial contains internal transcribed spacer 2 and large subunit ribosomal RNA". The stretch from base 1 to 120 matches the Rfam family "5.8S ribosomal RNA", at positions 35 to 154 of the family's 154-position model. The record is from RNAcentral.